GAAAUUAAGAAUGGAAUGAAUACCUCCUGCAGCUUUGUGACAUUGUCGAAAAUCAUAUAUGGACGGCUAAACGUCCUUCAGCCCAUAUUGCCAGUAUGUUGUGAAAAAACAACGCCAUUUGUAGUACUAUAAGCAAAGCUGUGUUAGUCUGUCAGAACUCAAAAGAAACAAUAAGACUCUGCAAGUGGUAUAUUGACUGAAGAUAUCUCCAGUUUCCCAUACAGAUAGUGCGUUUAAUUAAUAAACAUAGCUUGAAUUUGAGAAGUUAAGCAAGCUCUAUGCUACUUAAAUAUUAGCUACGUUGCAAAAAUACUGUAUUAGCAAGUGACUAUUACCAUAUCCUAAUUCACAACAUCCUUUAACUGCUAUCAAAAUUUGCCUAUUUGGUCCUGAAAUCUACUUUCCCCAAAAAAAAAAACAAGGACAAAGAAGAAACAUGAGUGCCCGUCUUGCCAAAAUUGAGAAUCUCAGUUCUAUUUUGGACAUGAGAACAAAGUACUAACAGCAAUAAAGAAGAGAAGAAGCUGACAUACAUAGAAAAAGAAGAAGAAGAGGAUGCGAAAUUGUUGGACAUGAGAACACAAAAUGCUGCCUCCAAAACACCAACUUAAGCUUUUUGGCUUCUUCGGUUUAUGGCUUUUUCUCUCUUUAAUUUGCAGAGAUGAUCAAGAAGAGAAAUUGCAUAAAGUUUGCUUUUGGUUUCGAAGAAGAAGAGAAGAAUUGAAAAGAUGAUGUUAGAGAUUGGAUUAGCUUUCGCUUGAGAGUAAUUUUAUUUUUAAAAGCUCUUCGAAAAAAAAUGGAAACUUUGAUUUGUUUUCUUUGUUGCUCAACGGUUGUUUCCUUUUUCUUAUAUUGGUU
This 858-nucleotide long non-coding RNA is filed under the name Capsella grandiflora. RNAcentral's name for it is "long non-coding RNA (CGRA_LNC000611)". Lineage: Eukaryota; Viridiplantae; Streptophyta; Magnoliopsida; Brassicales; Brassicaceae. The record is from RNAcentral.